Molecule: ribosomal RNA, 460 nt
Filed under: uncultured bacterium
Lineage: Bacteria
Description: partial 16S ribosomal RNA
Rfam family: Bacterial small subunit ribosomal RNA
Source: RNAcentral
CCUACGGGGGGCAGCAGUGAGGAAUAUUGGUCAAUGGACGAGAGUCUGAACCAGCCAAGUAGCGUGAAGGAUGACUGCCCUAUGGGUUGUAAACUUCUUUUAUAAAGGAAUAAAACGAGGCACGUGUGCCUUUUUGCAUGUACUUUAUGUAUAAGGAUCGGCUAACUCCGUGCCAGCAGCCGCGGUAAUACGGAGGAUCCGAGCGUUAUCCGGAUUUAUUGGGUUUAAAGGGAGCGUAGGUGGGUUGUUAAGUCAGUUGUGAAAGUUUGCGGCUCAACCGUAAAAUUGCAAUGGAUACUGGGAGUCUUGAGUGCAGUAGAGGUAGGCGGAAUUCGUGGUGUAGCGGUGAAAUGCUUAGAUAUCUCGAAGAACCCCGGUUGCGAAGGCAGCUUACUAAACUGUGACUGACAUUGAGGUUCGAAAGUGUGGGUAUCAAACAGGAUUAGAUACCCGAGUAGUC